CUGAAAGUAGCCGAAAAUAAACGUGCGGUAGAACAGCUUUAAAAUUUUGGAAAAUUUGUAACCUUAAUCUUUACGACAGAAAAUGAUGAAUUCAACGCGUCUUGUUCUUGUGAACAGAUUUAUUCAAUUACGCCAAUUUCAUAAAUGCGUUAUUUACUCGCAAACGGAGACUGCAGCUGCUCCCAUAGAUGCCAUAUCAGUACCAAUACCAGAGGGUGUAGAGAAGCCGGUAUCGGCAAAAAUUGACAAAAUUGCUAAAGAUAUUACUGCUUUGAACCUCAUCGAAGUAGCAGAACUGAGUGAUCUGCUGAAGAAACGGCUGAAUCUUCCGGAUGCUCCUAUCAUGCCUAUGGGAGGCUUUGCUAUGCCUACAGCAGUAACUGACGAAGAAGAGGCAGCUCCGGUUAAACAAGUAAAGUCAUCAUUUACGGUUAAGCUUACAAAGUUUGACGACAAGCAGAAAGUAGCUUUGAUUAAAGAAAUUAAAAAUCUUUUACCUGGAAUGAAUUUAGUUCAGGCUAAGAAAUUUGUCGAGUCUGCACCGACGAUCGUUAAAGCGGACGUGGCUAAGGACGAAGCAGAGAAAUUGAAGGAAGCCCUUACUAAUGUUGGUGCCGUGGUGGAUAUCGAAUAAGCGAUAAUUUACAUAUAAUGUACUUAUAGUCCGUUCCAUCGUGUCCUGCAUUUAAAAUAGAAAAGAAUGCGUUAGGCUAUGUUGAAAUUUCCUCGAGAACGACGAGGACGGCAAUGGUGGUUAAAGUGAUAAUUUUUUUGGUACUCCAAAGUCGAGGAGUGACGUCCAAC
This is an RNA transcript of Orussus abietinus, 804 nucleotides long. It is a transcript of the gene named 39S ribosomal protein L12, mitochondrial, with no coding region annotated. NCBI's taxonomy places the organism in Eukaryota, Metazoa, Arthropoda, Insecta, Hymenoptera, Orussidae. The transcript is spliced from 5 exons. The record is from RefSeq and is a predicted model, not a curated record.